GUGAAGGAGAAGGUCUUCGGAUUGUAAACUUCUGUUGUUGAGGAAGAUAAUGACGGUACUCAACAAGGAAGUGACGGCUAACUACAUGCCAGCAGCCGCGGUAAAACGUAUGUCACAAGCGUUGUCCGGAAUUACUGGGUGUAAAGGGAGCGCAGGCGGGAAGACAAGUUGGAAGUGAAAUCCAUGGGCUCAACCCAUGAACUGCUUUCAAAACUGUUUUUCUUGAGUAGUGCAGAGGUAGGCGGAAUUCCCGGUGUAGCGGUGGAAUGCGUAGAUAUCGGGAGGAACACCAUUGGCGAAGGCGGCCUACUGGGCACCAACUGACGCUGAGGCUCGAAAGUGUGGGUAGCAAACAGGAUUAUAUACCCUGGUAGUCCACCCUGUAAACAAUGAUUACUACGUGUUGGAGGAUUAACCCCUUCAGUGCCGCAGUUAACACAAUA
RNAcentral lists this ribosomal RNA (443 nucleotides) under uncultured bacterium. RNAcentral describes it as "bacterial SSU rRNA". It matches the Rfam family "Bacterial small subunit ribosomal RNA", at positions 401 to 862 of the family's 1533-position model. The record is from RNAcentral.